GCCAGUCCAGAGAAGGUAAUUUAGAAAAGAGAUGGACCCGGAGAGCAACGAGGGCGGGACAGAGCCGAAGACACUGGAGUGUGCAAGACAGCAUGACAUAUUGAGAGAGUGACCUACGUGACUGCAGCUGAAGUUAUCGUAAAAGUAACAUGACAGAAGUCUACCCACCAUAUCAAGAGCAUGACAGUCAACCACAGAGCCAUUAUGUGGAUCAUUGGGGGCAGCAACAUCUGAUGUGAGCUGAGAGCUACAGAGAACAUGAUCACUGAGCUGUAGUUGUCUGAGGUGGAAGAACUUCCUCCACUUAUUCAUCCAGUCCUGGUGACGACAAGCAGCAACCAAUGUCCUCCUCAUCCACUGCAGUGAGAGUAACCUGAGGUUGUCACAGCAGUGAUGGAGGACCUGCAGCACCUCCACCUGCAGUCUCCUGACAUGAAGAUCAUCUUCUGUGGCACCACAGAGAUGCAGGUUCAGCGCAGGUAUCAAUCUAGGUAAGACUGACAGGCUCACAGGUUUGUGAGCAGUGUUAUCGCUGGAUAUGUUCAUGUUCUCAGUGUACAGACUGCUGCACUCUGCACCAUAUUUGAAGUAUUCUUUUAUAUUAUGGUUUGUCAUGUUUACCAUUUCUACUGUAAUUCAUACUUUUUAGUAAAAAUAAUAUUGCACUGCAGAUUUAACUCCCUCUCUUAAUACUGCACACUCGUGAGUUAAGUAUUUACACUACUGUAAGCUAUACACAUUAUUUAUUUCAGCCUUUUAUUACAUUAAUUUAUACAUCUUUCCAUCUCAUAUUUGUUAAAAUAUAUUUUAAAUGUGCAAUAAAGGUAUUAAUGAA
Long non-coding RNA from Amphiprion ocellaris (clown anemonefish), 835 nucleotides. RefSeq lists it as uncharacterized. The record is from RefSeq and is a predicted model, not a curated record. Lineage: Eukaryota; Metazoa; Chordata; Actinopteri; Pomacentridae. The transcript has 4 exons.